GAUAGGUUCAGUAAAGAUGCUGAGGAAAAAAACACCACCUACUUCCUACACCACCUACUUCCUGCACCACCCAGUUGUUUUUCUUCUCAUCAUGAGAAGAUUUCCUUUCAAGUACAGACCGAAGAGCUCAUGCACCCCAAGUCCAAAGGGUGGGUAAUGAACUCAUCUGGAAUAGGCAUUUUGGUCCCUUGGUGGUUGACUGCAUCAGAUCUCUGGCAGAGACGGAACAGCCUGUCAACAUUUGAAUGAGGGGUAAAAAUGACAACAGAUCUGUGUAUUUAACCACACGUAGAUUCGCCGGGUAUYGGUGGGAAUUAACGAAAGCGUUACGGUGUGCCCAAGCAUCCUCUCUCCCCCACGGCUGCCGGUCUGCUGUGCUGCUCCUGUACAGAAGCCCAACUAGGUGCUUUCUCCUCAAGGCCUUGAUUUGGUGAAGCCCUUCUGCAGUUAUUCAACUUUAGGUGGGAAGAGGACACUUCAGGAAGAUACACUGGAAGAUGCAGAGACAAAGCCAGGAUGUUCCCAUCUGAUCUCCCCUUCCAGCUCCCCUGGAGGUAGUCUAGUUUGGAGAGAGAAGCCCUCACAGGAGAGAUUUUUGCCUUUCCAGAGGAACUCGGCCACAGGACACCCAAGAAAAGUGAUUUCUGCAGCUUCACUGCCCUGUCCAAAAUUGCUCUGUUCUCAGACCGGGGAAGCAGUGGGAGGAGAGCGGGAUGGUGCCUCUGGGGCCCACCGUUGCUGCCUGGGGUUGUGGCACUGCUCUGGGAAAGUGCCGAGCACAGGAGACCCACAGUGGCUGAGAUCUGCCAGCAUGGCUGCAAUGCAAGUAAUGCAAAUUGUUCUUUAUACAACUGCAUCCAUACUUUUACUGUUCUCAUUGCAAAUUCACUUGCUUUGCACCUGGAAACAUGCACCUGAAUGUCAUUUUGGUGUUGCUGGUGGUUGGAAAUCAAUAUUAAUUUACUUGUGCGUAUAAAUACAGAAAUGUAUUUAUAAGUUUCAGAUCAGUUGCAAACACAUGCAAAUUCUGUACAUAAAUUCUCACUCAUUUAUGUAAUCUGUUCAGUAAUGUCAUUAAGGAGAGCACAUCUAGUGCCUGGCUAGAGUUACAUUUGCAUGUGUUGAGAUCAAGCGGGAACAUUCACUUAACACACUCCCUUGCCCAUGCAUUUCCCAGUAGGCGGGUGAUGCUCCAACUCCAGGUAUCUCCUGCUCUUUUCCUGUGAUGUGCUAUUACUAUUUUUAAGGUUUUUUGGUCUUUUGAGCACAACUGAGUUUGGUUCAGGAUUUGGGGAAAUCUUCUGCUGCUUGUGGCAUAGGGAGGGGAUUCUGCAGUUUUUUUGGACUAAACACUUGUUGCAGUCGUCUGUGACUGCAGAUGCACUGGACUUGAUAGCAUAGCUGGUCUCCUCCAGUCUUGUGUUCCUCCAGCUACCGAUCACAAGAAGAGUAGGAAUUAUUUACAAUUCUACAAAAAGG
Molecule: long non-coding RNA, 1479 nt
Filed under: Dromaius novaehollandiae (emu)
Lineage: Eukaryota; Metazoa; Chordata; Aves; Casuariiformes; Dromaiidae
Description: lncRNA (ENSDNVG00000003703.1)
Source: RNAcentral